This 66-nucleotide transfer RNA is filed under the name Allobates flaviventris. RNAcentral describes it as "tRNA-His". The record is from RNAcentral. Lineage: Eukaryota; Metazoa; Chordata; Amphibia; Anura; Aromobatidae.
UGUACAUAGUUUAAAAAAAUUCUAGCCUGUGAUUCUAGAGAUGAGAGUUAAAUACUCCUGUUCACC